Lolium perenne is the source of this 1356-nucleotide long non-coding RNA. RefSeq lists it as uncharacterized. The record is from RefSeq and is a predicted model, not a curated record. Lineage: Eukaryota; Viridiplantae; Streptophyta; Magnoliopsida; Poales; Poaceae.
GGCCGUAGAUAGAUUUAACGGCGUUAGCCUCUCCUUUAUCUCUCGCUUUUCCAACCUUGCUCCCACCCGCACGACCACUCUGCCCACCGCCUGAGAAAAAUCCACACAGAUCCAGAAAAGUUUGGUCUCCACGGUCCUCGACCACCACCAAAUCUGGCCGCCAGUGACAUCCCACACGCCCCUGCGCCUGCAAGACACCGCCGGGGAGCACAUGCGACUUGCGCUCUCCCCGGCGGCUCCUCCUCCGCUUGCUCUCGCAGCCCCACCUCCCCAACUGCCACGGAUCCCCAAGCCUCACCUACGCCGGAUCCCGCAGCCUAUACCGUCGCCUAGCCCGCUCCGUCCACGGCUCGGGGCCCUGCCCCGCUCAUCCACGGCGCGGAGCACCAGGCAGGAUUAAAGGCAGGCUCGAGCGGUACUCCAGGCGGCUCCUCGCACUGGCCGAUUUUCCCCGUUCGCCCCGGCCAUCGACUUCCACCAUGAAUUCCUCUACGCUUGUUCCGCAGGACGGUGGAGAUUGAGAGCAGCGUCGCGCGCGCCGUGGAGGAGGAGCAAGGCUCGCGGCCGGUCCCUCAGCCGGACGAGUUCUGGUCCGCCGGGGCCACCACACUCAGUGCCCGGGCGCGAGGAUGGUUGUGUUGGUGUUCGACGGUGCGGGAGCACGCCAUUGAGGGGCCACGGCUGGAGGAUGCCAUUGAGGAAUGAUGCGAGAAGAGGACGCGGGCGUCGUUCUCUGCGUCUCCCAUUCGAUGAGGGAGGAGCCCAGCUCCGUCCGUGGCGUGCGGCGAGGAGGGAGGACGCCUGCUCCGGCCGCGGCGUGCUGCGAGCUGCAAAGGCACUAAUCGUGGAUCAGAAGACCAGAAGUCCUAAUUGAUAAAUAACCACUGCCUCUCUGGCGCUGGUCUUCCCCUUUUUACGGAUGUGCGUUUCCCACCAUCGAGGUCACCAUGGCGAUGGCGGCGGUGCCGACGAGGUGCUGCUGGAUGUUCUAGAUAUUUCUUCACCUUCCACUGCUGAGACUGAGAGUAAGGACUUGCUGCGUCAUGGGCUAAUGGAGGUGCUCGCCCUCGUGGUCGUCGCGAGGAUGGGAAUGCAGGCUGCUGCUAUGUGUUCUUUGUUUUCUUAUUCCUCGUUUUGGCUGCAUCCCCUGUUCCUGGAGGCAAGCAGUUCGGCUCUAAUGCAUCCCUGAAAUCUCUUAUCUCUUUAUUCCCGAUUUCUGUUUUUUUUUCUUGUUAGUCAUAGUGCUGCUAGGAUGUGAGACCAUUGAGAUGCCUCUCGGCUGGCUUAUUUCUUCUUCUUUUUUGUUCCGUCCAAGAAAUCAAAUAUAGAGUGAGUGUGUUCAUCUUUGGCACCAAA